GGCCAUACCACCCUGAAUGCACCUAGUCUUGUCUGACCUUGGAAGCUAAGCAGGGUCAUACCUGGUUAGUACAUGAAUGGGAGAACUGACAAGAAAGUAUGGCGCU
This 106-nucleotide ribosomal RNA is filed under the name Carlito syrichta (Philippine tarsier). Lineage: Eukaryota; Metazoa; Chordata; Mammalia; Primates; Tarsiidae. The record is from RNAcentral.